This 357-nucleotide ribosomal RNA is filed under the name Triticum aestivum (bread wheat). RNAcentral's name for it is "partial small subunit ribosomal RNA". Lineage: Eukaryota; Viridiplantae; Streptophyta; Magnoliopsida; Poales; Poaceae. The record is from RNAcentral.
AUGGAGGAUACUGAAAACACUCAGAUCAUGGCUGAUCUUGGUGCCGGCACAACUGAAGGAAUACAUGGAAGCUUUCCUGGCAUAUCUACUGGAGUUCCUCAAGCAACCUCUGCUGGUAGGAAGUGGCUAAGUUCCCUGGACGCGCCUGAUGACCUGGGUGAUCUCAGCCUAACUGACGAUGAAGAGCCAGUUUCUCCAACUGGCGGCAAGCUGACCGGGAAGCACUCCAUCCUGAGCCCUGUCUCUGUUAUUGGGGUGGGAGUGUGGUCUCCUUCACAUGGAGCUGCUCCGAUGAUGAGGAUCAAGAAGGCGUCACCACUGAAGUCUACGGAUUCGCUGUUGGAAGUCAUGAUGUAA